Molecule: ribosomal RNA, 62 nt
Filed under: Anabaena sp. BC-Ana-0026
Lineage: Bacteria; Bacillati; Cyanobacteriota; Cyanophyceae; Nostocales; Nostocaceae
Description: partial 23S ribosomal RNA
Source: RNAcentral
AUAAGGGCUAAUGGUGGAUACCUAGGCAAGCCGAAUUCCAGCACACUGGCGGCCGUUACUAG